UGUAUUGGAGAGAACAGGGAUCGCAGCUGAAAGCUAGGAUAAACACAGAAUUGUCUUCUUGUCAAGCAGCAAUAGCAGUGCAGAUUAAGAGCCUCGUUUCUCUUGAUUUGGAAGGGAAAUCUUCCAAAGAUGUAUUGCGUCGAACUCCUGCCUUACUCCCGGACGCUGCUGAAGCUUGGAUACUCUCUUUAUGGUGGAAAUUGAAAAUAUGUGAGGAGCUGUUCAGCACAUUACUCGGUGGAAUCAGCCAAAUAGCACUGUCUUGCGGAGGCUAGCUCUUGAGAGUGUUGCACAUUCGUCUGAAGCCCCUUGUCCUGACGGCUUGUGCUCGGUUUGCUUCUAGUUUCUUUUUUUUGUUUUUUGGAUGUGGAUAUUGAUCUUCCUAUCAUACACCAAGUUGUGAACAGAUAUCAUUCGCUUUUGAAGUUUGCUCUUCGGAACAAGCUGGUGUGUUAAGAAAUAAUCAUGGAACUAUGAUGGAAAAAAAAACAGGCUGUUCCUGUUGUGCAGCUCAAUCGUAUAUGUCUUCUUUCUGACUUGAGCUCAUCCAUUAAAAAGUGGGAAGUUAUAGACAUGAUAUUGCCCCUCUUCUUUGAGAGUCUUGAAGAAGGUGAUGCUUCUGCUCCAUGUUUAUUGCGUCUCCGAGUAUGAACCCUUGCCUCUUAAGAAUGUAUAUGCUAGUGAAUAAUGCUAUUUGUCUUUUUUGCGCUUUGCUUAGUAUUUGAUAUAUCAUUUCAAUUGCUUCUGUGGUAACUAUUGUCAUCCAUAUUGUGGCAAUCAAGUUCAACUGUUUUCAUAAAUGUUUCAGCCACUUGAUGCGGUUCUCGCAUGGCUUGUUUGGGUUUUGAUUAGUCUUAUCGUGAGACAAUAGUUCUAGUGACCAGAAACUAUUUAGAUGAACUCAAGAAUGUCGGAUUGGAAGAAAGCAAAACACUGCCCCCAAGAAACUACUACAGAGCGUGUAGAAGUAUGUGUUUAGGUGUUUCUUUGUAGUUUGGACUACAUAUUAUGUGCUAUUUUGCAGGCUUGUAACUUCUCAUAGUUUUGCUAACUUCUUCAGUUUAUAUUUUAGAGACUCCCUGCAGGGUUUCUUCUGGUUGCCUCUCGUCUUAGUAGCUCAAAACUGAGGUCUGAUUACCGCCAAUAGGCUAUGGUCUUCAUGCUCGGAUGUGGCAGUGGCUGCUGAAUCAAAAAGUGGAACGUAGAGUGCUGAUGGGUGUCAGGCUUUUAUGUCAACCUUAUUGCACUGCACGCCUAUCUGCAUCCCAUGUCUUGUUAGGGCCUUGACGCCUGAGCAGCCACCUGAUUGUGUUUGGUAUUGCUGAUUAAUAUGGAUGAUACAGAGACUAUUGAGCGAGCACCGGGUGCUGGCGUGGCGUGGAGUGCCGUCUUAGAUCAUAGCAGCCUUGGGAAUGUUUGGACUUUGGAGUUUUGGUUACUUAAAAAGGAUCAUCUGGAGUUCUUUUCCGUUUGACUCUUUUCUUCCUUUUUCUCAGUAUAAUGCUUUCGGAUUUGCAGGAGUGGUGCUGAUUUCUUGGGGCCAUUAUUGCCUGCAGUUGUCGAAAUUUGCUUUGAGUUUGAUCCUGCAGCCAAUGUUGAAGUGUUAGAGCGACAUGUCUUCUUGGAGUUGCUUUUUUGGAGAUAUUACGGUUUAGUUGUAAUGGUGGUGUACUCUGUGUUGACUCCUCUUUAACUACAUUAAGAAGUGCAUUCGGUUAUGUGUUCGAGUA
This is a long non-coding RNA of Musa acuminata AAA Group (dessert banana), 1730 nucleotides long. RefSeq lists it as uncharacterized. Lineage: Eukaryota; Viridiplantae; Streptophyta; Magnoliopsida; Zingiberales; Musaceae. The record is from RefSeq and is a predicted model, not a curated record. The transcript is spliced from 3 exons.